UGACGCAGCAUGCCGCGUGCGGGACGAAGGCCCUAGGGUCGUAAACCGCUUUCAGUAGGGACGAAAAUGACGGUACCUGCAGAAGAAGCUCCGGCCAACUACGUGCCAGCAGCCGCGGUGAUACGUAGGGAGCAAGCGUUGUCCGGAAUUACUGGGCGUAAAGGGCUCGUAGGUGGUUGAGUAAGUCAGAUGUGAAAUCUCAGGGCCCAACCCUGAGCGUGCAUUUGAUACUGCUCUGACUAGAGUCCGGUAGGGGAGUGCGGAAUUCCUGGUGUAGCGGUGAAAUGCGCAGAUAUCAGGAGGAACACCGACAGCGAAGGCAGCACUCUGGGCCGGUACUGACACUGAGGAGCGAAAGCAUGGGUAGCAAACAGGAUUAGAUACCCUGGUAGUCCAUGCCGUAAACGUUGGGCACUAGGUGUGGGGAGAACUCAACUCUCUCCGCGCCGUAGCUAACGCAUUAAGUGCCCCGCCUGGGGAGUACGGCCGCAAGGCUAAAACU
This 502-nucleotide ribosomal RNA is filed under the name uncultured Candidatus Nemicrothrix sp. RNAcentral describes it as "bacterial SSU rRNA". It matches the Rfam family "Bacterial small subunit ribosomal RNA", at positions 384 to 901 of the family's 1533-position model. Lineage: Bacteria; Bacillati; Actinomycetota; Acidimicrobiia; Acidimicrobiales; Microthrixaceae. The record is from RNAcentral.